RNAcentral lists this ribosomal RNA (397 nucleotides) under uncultured bacterium. Its description in RNAcentral is "partial 16S ribosomal RNA". It matches the Rfam family "Bacterial small subunit ribosomal RNA", at positions 523 to 918 of the family's 1533-position model. The record is from RNAcentral.
AUACGUAGGGGGCGAGCGUUGUCCGGAAUGAUUGGGCGUAAAGGGCGCGUAGGCGGCCUGUUAAGUCUGGAGUGAAAGUCCUGUUUUCAAGAUGGGAAUUGCUUUGGAUACUGAUGGGCUUGAGUGCAGGAGAGGUUAUCGGAAUUCCCGGUGUAGCGGUGAAAUGCGUAGAGAUCGGGAGGAACACCAGUGGCGAAGGCGGGUAACUGGACUGCAACUGACGCUGAGGCGCGAAAGUGUAGGGAGCAAACAGGAUUAGAUACCCUGGUAGUCCACACUGUAAACGAUGAAUGCUAGGUGUAAGAGGUAUCGACCCCUUUUGUGCCGGAGUUAACACAAUAAGCAUUCCGCCUGGGGAGUACGGCCGCAAGGUUGAAACUCAAAUGAAUUGACGGGG